RNAcentral lists this ribosomal RNA (498 nucleotides) under uncultured bacterium. RNAcentral's name for it is "partial 16S ribosomal RNA". It matches the Rfam family "Bacterial small subunit ribosomal RNA", at positions 28 to 508 of the family's 1533-position model. The record is from RNAcentral.
GAUGAACGCUGGCGGCGUGCCUAAUACAUGCAAGUCGAGCGAACAGACGAGGAGCUUGCUCCUCUGACGUUAGCGGCGGACGGGUGAGUAACACGUGGAUAACCUACCUAUAAGACUGGGAUAACUUCGGGAAACCGGAGCUAAUACCGGAUAAUAUAUUGAACCGCAUGGUUCAAUAGUGAAAGACGGUUUUGCUGUCACUUAUAGAUGGAUCCGCGCCGCAUUAGCUAGUUGGUAAGGUAACGGCUUACCAAGGCAACGAUGCGUAGCCGACCUGAGAGGUGGGGCCGCCCACCUGGGAACGAGACCAGGGCCAGGACCCUACGGGAGGCAGCAAGAAGGCAGCUUCCCGAAAGGGCGAAAGGUUGAACGAACCAAGGCGGGGGGAGGAUGAAAGGUCUAGGGUCCUAAAAACUGUUUUAGAGGGAAAAACAAAAUUGUAAAGUAACUCUCCACUCCUGCAGGUACCCUAAUAAGAAGCCCACGCCUAACUCGGGC